UACGGAGGGGGCAAGCGUUGUUCGGAAUUACUGGGCGUAAAGGGCGCGCAGGCGGCUGCUCAAGUCAGGCGUGAAAGGCCUGGGCUCAACCCGGGAAUUGCGCUUGAGACUGGGCUGGCUUGAGUGCGGGAGAGGAUGGUGGAAUUCCCAGUGUAGAGGUGAAAUUCGUAGAUAUGGGGAGGAACACCGGUGGCGAAGGCGGCCACCUGGACGGUAACUGACGCUGAGACGCGAAAGCGUGGGGAGCAAACAGG
This 254-nucleotide ribosomal RNA is filed under the name uncultured bacterium. RNAcentral's name for it is "partial 16S ribosomal RNA". It matches the Rfam family "Bacterial small subunit ribosomal RNA", at positions 524 to 776 of the family's 1533-position model. The record is from RNAcentral.